GAUUAAAUUUGAUUUAUAGGAAUUUUGUUAUUAUCUUUUAUUCUAUGUUUUCUAAUGUGUUGAUUCUAGAAAUAUAUGCAUUGACAAGCAUAAGAUCUCAAAUCAGAACAUUUAAUGUUUGGCAACUGCCUAUUGAACCGCCAAGUACCCUUCCUAACCAAACUUCACUAACAGACCCUGCACGGCACUCCCACUUGGUACCAGUUUACACCACUUUGCGUGUUCGCAUUUAUUACCAAGAUAAUAAUUAAUUAAUUAAAUAAAUAAGAAUAAUAUCCUGCAUAAUCUCUUUAUUAUUUUAAAAACUCUUUUAUUUUUUUAUUAUUUUUUUUGCCAUAAAAAAAUACAGAUGUGUGUAAAGUAUACACUCAACCUCAUAAAAAUUAAAACCCACACUAAUAAUUAUGCCAAAAUAAAAGAUAUACAAGUUGAUUAUUCAGUUCAGUAUAAUUUUGUUUAUAUCUGGGGAUCAAGUAUAGAGAAAUAAUCUGCUAACAAAGAUAAAAGGAAUGAAAAGUACAACACAGUUUUUCACUCACACAAUAACAAAGAACACUCUCUUAAAAUUGUUGAUACUUACUUUCCUCAAUCGUCAUCAAAGAGUCUUUCACUCGUGACUCAUCUUAAAUCUUCAAGUAGGGUAUUUUAUAUAGACGCAUCAAUGUCUUAAUAGAUCUUCCUCUUUUAGACUUCUCCGGGAUUUCUAAAUUGAACACCCUCCAAAGUUAUAUGUUGUAACACCCAGUUGCAACACUGCCCACCUUGCUGAAUAUGACUGAGUUCUGUAAUGUUUGCCACCUUAGUCUUGUUGACCAAGUUGACCAGAGAUAUUUUGUUUCCCUUUGACUGUUUGACCGAAUUAUGGGAUUCCUGACAAGGUUUCUUCUCAGCUGACUUCUCACCUAUGAGCUUCGGUCUUGUCGUGGUUGGUGGGAGAGUUUUCUAGAGCAAAGGCAUCCUUCUUCUUCUCCUCCUCCUCCUUCUUCUUCUUCUUUUUCUUAAUAGCAACCUUCCCUUGGAGUUUUCGACCGAAGAGACCAGCCGUGAGGAGGAUCUCGGAGUCGCAACGCUUUGGGUUAUGUAGCGGCGAGGAGGUUGGAGCUUCAUCAAUUGUUUCUUUGUCAAGCUUCAGAUCUUGUAGCGAGCCCUAGUUCGCGGGACUUGGUGAACCAACUCUGUAGCUCGGAGUUAGGUUGACUCUGACUAGGUCAAAUCUGAGACCUUGCACCCAGUGGGGUCCAGUCCCACUGGAUGUGGUCAAUCUGUCAGCGGGCCAGGCUGUGGGGCUGGGGCAUGACAAGUUCAAUCCUAGUUGCAACCCAACUUACGACAUCUACAACCUCCCGGUUUCUUCAAUUCGUUUCGUAGCAGUUAACUCAUCUCGAGCUCCUCUUGCCUGCACCUGCUUCCUUCCUCGCGUCAUUUUAGCAAGUCCCCUCUCCCGAGGGUCGCACCCACCAAGGAGCGAACAACCAUCUCACUAAAGAUGGCUACAAAAGAUCUCCUGAUCUUCUUUCCAAACUUUGCCCAAGUUUCAUCUUCACAUAUGAUCAUCGUUUAAACCAUAAAUAUAUUGUUACUAAAUUUGAUCUCCUCUCAUCCAAGUUUAGCCUUCAAUAUCUUCCAAGGAUGAUCUCCA
This is a long non-coding RNA of Dioscorea cayenensis subsp. rotundata (Guinea yam), 1639 nucleotides long. RefSeq lists it as uncharacterized. NCBI's taxonomy places the organism in Eukaryota, Viridiplantae, Streptophyta, Magnoliopsida, Dioscoreales, Dioscoreaceae. The transcript has 3 exons. The record is from RefSeq and is a predicted model, not a curated record.